UACCUACCUAUACCUUACAUAUGUAUUUUAUUAAAUUAGCAUUUUUAACUAUUAAUUUGAAGAUUAAGGAAAGUUCGGUAUAUGGAAACUUAAUCAAUCACCAAAAUAAUUUAACCAACAUCAAUUAAUUUAAGUUUAAAAAUAAUAAUAAUUUUAACUUGAAAAACAUUUUAUUUGAUAAAAAUUAUAAAAAAGCUCUCAUACAUUGCACAAUGGGUGGACUACUGUUUUAGGUGGAAAAUUGGGGAGGAUAUAGAGAGUAAUUUAAUUCAUAUUUGUUUGCAAUGAUAAACCAUUGCUAACGAAAAACGAUUUGGAGUGAAGUUCGGUUAAUACAUGUUUUAGCCCGUAAUAUUUU
Cinara cedri is the source of this 358-nucleotide non-coding RNA. The record is from the annotation of a GenBank genome assembly. NCBI's taxonomy places the organism in Eukaryota, Metazoa, Arthropoda, Insecta, Hemiptera, Aphididae.